RNAcentral lists this long non-coding RNA (2310 nucleotides) under Lathyrus oleraceus (garden pea). Its description in RNAcentral is "Pisum sativum (pea) long non-coding RNA (PSAT_LNC031882)". The record is from RNAcentral. Lineage: Eukaryota; Viridiplantae; Streptophyta; Magnoliopsida; Fabales; Fabaceae.
UCAUUCAAGGUUCUUGAUUCAAAGAAAAUUCAAAUGAAUUAGGAGGGAAAGCAUGUUAUGUGAAGCAUAAGUUACAUAUUCAUUUCAAAAAAGGCCAUUUUAUUACAAAAUCAUCAAAGUCUCACUUCAAAUUUCCAUUACAAAUCAUCCAUUUCAAUGUUCAUACAAAGUACAUCAAAAAACCUAAUUUUGACCUAGGUUGAUUUUUGGUCAAACAGUUGACCAAAGUCAACUACUGAUGCUAAAACCCUAAAAACCCUAAUUUCCCAUUUUGUAUCCACAAUCCCAUUUUCAUCCUCUAUUUUUCUUGAUCUUGGUGAUUUCAAUAGAAUUCCACUUGAUGCCAUGUUAGAACACUUCAUAGGUAAGCCUUGAUCAUGCUAUCCCUUUUGCACAUGAGUACUUACAAGAACACAAUACCAAAUAAGUGAGCCAUGGGAUCCAUUGAGUACACAUUUAAGCCACUAAAACCAAACGUUUAAAUGACAACAACUAUCAAACAAUCUAUAUAAACCAAUCAUAACUAACUUCAUUGCUAAACCUCUUUUGAUUCAAUCAUUUGGAUGAACUACUAUUUUGCUAAAAACCCUAUUAAUAUCAAUCGCAGUCAUAACAUGUUUCACUUUAAUUGAUUUAAAUUCAAACAUUCCAAGUAUCCAUGGCAUAAAUAAAAUCAGCGACAAAUUAAUUCAAUUCAAAACUUCAUUCAAAGCCUAACAUGAUUGUAUGACAACCCUACUGUUAUAUCUAGUCCACAAUAAAAACAUCACAACCUACUAACGUUUCACUGACUUUAUCAUUAACAUUAACAUAAAGUUUAUGAAUUAACUACAAUAAUCACUAACACACUAACAUCUCCUAAUUGGCUCUCAUAACCAUCAUUCACAUUCAAUAACUUGCAUAGAGAAAUUCAAUUAAAUUGCCAUGACAGACUAACAAUAGUUCAAUUUCCUGUUCUAACUCAUUUGAGUUAAUUCACCAUAAAUAACCAACAUCAGUUCACAUUUGCCUAACUGUCAAACAUAUGUAACAAACCAUUUCAUAAUAUAAAUCCUUCUAACUGAUUUUUAACUAACCUAAAACUAACUAACCUAAGCAACUAACAACUAAUAGAAUCUAAAAACUAACAGUCUAACAGGUUUUUUCACUAACUAACUUUCAUCAAUUUCCAAACUAACAUAAGUUUAAUCCAUAACUAACUUUUAAUAGAAAUUCUUCUAACCAACAACUAACUUGCACAAAUCUCAAACUAAUAAUUUAACAAACUUUUCACGAAUUUCCAUAGCUAACAAAGUGAGUUAACUUCAAUUGAAUUUCAACAUCAAUAACUUAACAAAUUUAAGCUCUAUUAAUAUUGAGUCCCUAUAAAACCAUCUUCAAUCAUCAUUCUCAUGGUUCACGCAAUCAUCACCCAAUCAUUCCCCAUAAAUCCCUCACUCUCAAUCUCAUUCACUCUUGCAAACUCUCAUCAUCAUUCUAAAUCAACAUAACCUCAUAUCUCUCAUCAAUCUCAUACUCUAUCUACAUCAACACUCACAAGAACUCAAAUACAAGAGAACAAAGAAGAAAAGGAAGAAUCGAGACAAGAAGAAAAAGAGGUUCUAAGUAAAGCAAUGAACCUGGGAAGUCAUCUUCAUCCUCAUUUGCGCAUGCAGGUGGGUUCUCUUCAUUUCGCCUUGAAUUUGUUGCAAACAUGUAUGGCUUGGUUAGAGGAACAAAAGCCAUGAGAUCAGAGGCCUUGAUUCAUUCAUUGGUGCAUUUAAUUUUAGAUUUCAGUAGCUAGGGUUCUUGAGUUUUUCUUGUCGAUUUGAUUGUUUGGUUAGGAAUUAAAUUAAAUUGAGUAUGGAUUCAUUUAGGGGAGAGUGAAGUCAGUUAAAUGAUGUAAGUUUGGAAGUGUUUCGUCCUCCUCCACCGCUGGAGGCGAUUUCUGGCGCGACGAAGAUUCUUUCUCAGACUGAGGUUAGAGGGAAUGAAAUAUUUUAUUCUGAGCAUGGAAAUGAACGUAGUUGAAGCUGAAUAUGAUCUCUCUCUCGUGGGGAUUGCAUUGGGCUUAAUCUUAUGCCCAUUGUAUUUGCUUCUUACACCUAUGUUCACUUUAAAAAAAACAUUAAUGAGUGUAUCACAACCUUGGGCUUCACAACACCAGGCCCAUUGCAUUUUCUCUUUCUGCACCAUAUUGUUGCUUCACCCCUUGUCUUUCCGUUUAUAUCUUAGUAUCUGUUUUUAGUUUUAGUUUUUUCAAUUUAUAGUUUCUCAUACAUUUUAAUCUUCUCAAAUGAUUUUUAAUGAAUGCUAAACCAUUUUAAUGCA